Small nuclear RNA from Myotis lucifugus (little brown bat), 106 nucleotides. The record is from Ensembl. NCBI's taxonomy places the organism in Eukaryota, Metazoa, Chordata, Mammalia, Chiroptera, Vespertilionidae.
AUGCUUGCUCUGCAGCCCACAUACUAAAAUUGGAACAAUACAGAGAAGAUUAGCAAGACCCCUGCGCAAGGAUUACACGCAAAUUUGUGAAGCAUUGAAGAAAAAA